UGGGGAAUUUUGGACAAUGGGGGAAACCCUGAUCCAGCCAUCCCGCGUGUGCGAUGAAGGCCUUCGGGUUGUAAAGCACUUUUGGCAGGAAAGAAACGUCGCGGGUUAAUACCCCGCGAAACUGACGGUACCUGCAGAAUAAGCACCGGCUAACUACGUGCCAGCAGCCGCGGUAAUACGUAGGGUGCAAGCGUUAAUCGGAAUUACUGGGCGUAAAGCGUGCGCAGGCGGUUCGGAAAGAAAGAUGUGAAAUCCCAGAGCUUAACUUUGGAACUGCAUUUUUAACUACCGGGCUAGAGUGUGUCAGAGGGAGGUGGAAUUCCGCGUGUAGCAGUGAAAUGCGUAGAUAUGCGGAGGAACACCGAUGGCGAAGGCAGCCUCCUGGGAUAACACUGACGCUCAUGCACGAAAGCGUGGGGAGCAAACAGGAUUAGAUACCCUGGUAGUCCACGCCCUAAACGAUGUCAACUAGCUGUUGGGGCCUUCGGGCCUUGGUAGCGCAGCUAACGCGUGAAGUUGACCGCCUGGGGAGUACGGUCGCAAGAUUAAAACUCAAAGGAAU
This 562-nucleotide ribosomal RNA is filed under the name uncultured bacterium. Its description in RNAcentral is "partial 16S ribosomal RNA". It matches the Rfam family "Bacterial small subunit ribosomal RNA", at positions 355 to 910 of the family's 1533-position model. The record is from RNAcentral.